ACACGUGGUAUCCUGUCUGAAUAUGGGGGGACCAUCCUCCAAGGCUAAAUACUCCUGACUGACCGAUAGUGAACCAGUACCGUGAGGGAAAGGCGAAAAGAACCCCGGCGAGGGGAGUGAAAAAGAACCUGAAACCGUGUACGUACAAGCAGUGGGAGCACGCUUAGGCGUGUGACUGCGUACCUUUUGUAUAAUGGGUCAGCGACUUAUAUUCUGUA
Molecule: ribosomal RNA, 218 nt
Filed under: Escherichia coli
Lineage: Bacteria; Pseudomonadati; Pseudomonadota; Gammaproteobacteria; Enterobacterales; Enterobacteriaceae
Also listed under: 3 other names
Description: partial 23S ribosomal RNA
Rfam family: Bacterial large subunit ribosomal RNA
Source: RNAcentral